This is a long non-coding RNA of Saccostrea cuccullata (small rock oyster), 272 nucleotides long. RefSeq lists it as uncharacterized. The transcript has 4 exons. The record is from RefSeq and is a predicted model, not a curated record. Lineage: Eukaryota; Metazoa; Mollusca; Bivalvia; Ostreida; Ostreidae.
CAUACCUAACUCAGGUCCCCCAUAUAUUCGGAGCAACAUCUAGAAUACAAUGUCAUGGUCGUAACAAAGUAUGGAGAGACCUUCAUCAGUUAAAAAAUAUGGACACCCAUUGCCUUGAUGAUUUUGUUUCUCAUAUGUUCGCUGCCUAUGUUCAUAACCACGAACCAAGCUGUCAUAAUGCCUGCAAUAGUUCUUCUACUCACACUUCUCACACUACUCACACUCAGGGUACUUCACCUCCUACGACUACACAAUCCUCCCACCACCACCAC